CGAAAGGGCUUCUGUCGUGAGUGGCACCCACAGAGCAGCCUGAUUGCUCUACACGCAGCAUCGACAUCGAGAGGUUCAGAAGCAUCAGUUUUUGGUACUUGGGCAGCUGGAGAUCAUUGGUCCUGGUGCCCGC
Molecule: small nuclear RNA, 133 nt
Organism: Eptesicus fuscus (big brown bat)
Lineage: Eukaryota; Metazoa; Chordata; Mammalia; Chiroptera; Vespertilionidae
Product: U11 spliceosomal RNA
Exons: 1
Source: RefSeq, a predicted model, not a curated record